Long non-coding RNA from Gallus gallus (chicken), 1333 nucleotides. The record is from Ensembl. NCBI's taxonomy places the organism in Eukaryota, Metazoa, Chordata, Aves, Galliformes, Phasianidae.
AGGCCCUAUGGGAGCCAUGAGAAGGAAUCACGCGUGGGACAUCCGGGCACGAUCUGGACAUGGCCAGGGAGGCCAAGCCGAGCCGGGUCAGGUUGGGCCAAAAGAGGCCGCACAGCAGCAGCCUGUACCCCAGUACCUGCGACCUGGACUACAACCUCUACAGGGAUGACUUCCCAUACCGGGUGUAUGAGUACCAGAAGAUCCCACCCCUCAUUAACCGCAUCCCCGUCAAGGCCAGGAGAACGCACGCAAGAGCGGGAGGCACGAGCAGCCCCAGCCCCCAGCACGGGGCGCGGAGCAGCGCCAGCUCCACGGGGACGCGGAUGAAACUGAGAGCCGAGGAGCUGCACUCCAUCAAGGGGGAGCUGAGCCAGAUCAAGGAGAGGGUGGACAACCUGCUGGAGAGCCUGGAGCGCAUGGACCAGCGCAGGGAGCGGCUCUCGGGGUGCAAGGAGAGCGAGAAGAAGAAGGCGGAGGUGGGCUCAGCAUCACCGGCCCCGCCGGGAGAGGGCUCACGAGGCAAGGAGGGGAGCGGAGGGGACGGGCGCAACAUCGACAGCGCCGACGAGAGCACAGACACGGAGGAGACGAUGAAGGCCCACACCUCGGAUCCCGAGGGGAGCCAGUAGUGGGGAUGCCGGAGCCCCGCAGCUCCUGCCCCAUCUCCGCGUCCGCUUGGAGGCUCCCGGCAGGUGCCAGGCCGGUGCCCAGUGCCCCUCCCUGCACUCACGUCCCCACCACCAGUGCCAGCAGCCCCGUGCCCCGCGUUGGCCAGCCGUGGUGAGAGAAGUCUUUGUGUUUGAGUGCGCGUUCUUCUUUUUAUUCCUCCUGUUUUGCAGUGUAAGUAAGUUGGGGGUCGGGGGGGUAGGAGGGCAGAAGCUCCGCACCCCGAAGGAUCGUUAGCCCAGAGCUGAGGUCCGCCGUGUCCCCGCUCCUCACCUCCCCACUGGGUAAAGCAUCCCCUGGGCAAAGCAUCACACCCAGCCCCUCCAUCCCACGAGCACAGCGCGGGCCGGAUGCGCUCCCCGUGCAGGACGAAGCCACAGCGCUGUCCCUGCUGGGCAGUGGUGAGCACACGGGUGGCCACAGGUGAUACCGCCAGCACAGGGCGCCCAGUGGUGCGGUAUGGAGCCCAGCAUCCCCUCACCAGUGGGCUUCUCUUAACGGUGUCCCGAGGGCUCCGUUCUUUGCCAUCCCUCCAUCCCUCUCCCUCCGUGUCUGUGUCCCCCGUUUCGGGGUCGUCCUCCUCGUGCUGGUAGGAAGUUGUCCUGUAUUUCUCAUUUGCUCCGGCGAAAGAGUGAAUUGUGCUGGAAAGGACAAAAACAAUCCAUCA